AUGAGGAUCACCAAACAAUGCAACCUGCCACUUUCUUUGGGUAAGCAUUAUCGCUCAAAUGUGUUGUGUGAUGUGGUUGACAUGUAUGCCAACCAUGUUCUUCUUGGGAGGCAUUGGCAAUUUGAUGUGGAUACUACACACAAGGGCAAGGAAAAUUCUUACUCUUUCAUUUGGAAUAAGAGAAAGAUCAUUAUCUUACCAAACAAAAUCGAAGGUAAUACCUCUAAGGAGGAGGGGAAAACUAUGUUAACUAUCUCCCAUACCUCUCAUGAGUUUAUGGAAGACUUGAAGGAGGCAGAUUUGUGUGAUGCACUUGUUGUAAAGGGAGAAGAGCACCUGACUGUUGAAAUUCCAGCAAAGGUACGUGGUUUAUUGGCAGAAUUUUAG
RNAcentral lists this ribosomal RNA (387 nucleotides) under Triticum aestivum (bread wheat). Its description in RNAcentral is "partial small subunit ribosomal RNA". Lineage: Eukaryota; Viridiplantae; Streptophyta; Magnoliopsida; Poales; Poaceae. The record is from RNAcentral.